Molecule: ribosomal RNA, 392 nt
Filed under: uncultured bacterium
Lineage: Bacteria
Description: partial 16S ribosomal RNA
Rfam family: Bacterial small subunit ribosomal RNA
Source: RNAcentral
AUACGUAGGAUGCAAGCGUUAUCCGGAUUUAUUGGGUUUAAAGGGAGCGUAGGCGGAUUGUUAAGUCAGCUGUCAAAUGUCGGUGCCCAACAUCGUCCUUCCGUUGAAACUGGCAGUCUUGAAUGCACACAGGGAAGGUGGAAUUCGUCGUGGAGCGGGGAAAUGCUUAGAUAUGACGAGGAACUCCGAUCGCGAAGGCAUCCUUCUGGAGUGCGAUUGACGCUGAGGCUCGAAAGCGCGGGUAUCAAACAGGAUUAGAUUCCCUGGUAGUCCGCACGGUAAACGAUGAUUACCCGCUGUCGGCGGUAGACAGUCGGCGGCCAAGCGAAAGCGAUAAGUAAUCCACCUGGGGAGUACGCCGGCAACGGUGAAACUCAAAUGAAUUGGCGGGG